RNAcentral lists this ribosomal RNA (497 nucleotides) under uncultured bacterium. RNAcentral's name for it is "partial 16S ribosomal RNA". It matches the Rfam family "Bacterial small subunit ribosomal RNA", at positions 355 to 842 of the family's 1533-position model. The record is from RNAcentral.
UGGGGAAUAUUGCACAAUGGGCGCAAGCCUGAUGCAGCCAUGCCGCGUGUGUGAAGAAGGCCUUCGGGUUGUAAAGCACUUUCAGCGAGGAGGAAGGUGGUGAACUUAAUACGUUCAUCAAUUGACGUUACUCGCAGAAGAAGCACCGGCUAACUCCGUGCCAGCAGCCGCGGUAAUACGGAGGGUGCAAGCGUUAAUCGGAAUUACUGGGCGUAAAGCGCACGCAGGCGGUUUGUUAAGUCAGAUGUGAAAUCCCCGGGCUCAACCUGGGAACUGCAUUUGAAACUGGCAAGCUAGAGUCUCGUAGAGGGGGGUAGAAUUCCAGGUGUAGCGGUGAAAUGCGUAGAGAUCUGGAGGAAUACCGGUGGCGAAGGCGGCCCCCCUGGACGAAGACUGACGCUCAGGUGCGAAAGCGUGGGGAGCAAAACAGGAUUAGAUACCCUGGUAGUCCACGCUGUAAACGAUGUCGAUUUGGAGGUUGUGCCCUUGAGGCGUGG